AUUUUCCCGUCGAGUCCCAAAUAGGACGAAAUGCGCAUCAUGGAU
This is a non-coding RNA of Trichobilharzia regenti, 45 nucleotides long. Lineage: Eukaryota; Metazoa; Platyhelminthes; Trematoda; Strigeidida; Schistosomatidae. The record is from Rfam.